AAUGAACGCUGGCGGCAUGCCUAACACAUGCAAGUCAAACGAAGGCUUCGGCCUUAGUGGCGCACGGGUGCGUAACGCGUGGGAAUCUGCCCUUGGGUUCGGAAUAACAGUUAGAAAUGACUGCUAAUACCGGAUGAUGUCGUAAGACCAAAGAUUUAUCGCCCAAGGAUGAGCCCGCGUAGGAUUAGCUAGUUGGUGGGGUAAAGGCCCACCAAGGCGACGAUCCUUAGCUGGUCUGAGAGGAUGAUCAGCCACACUGGGACUGAGACACGGCCCAGACUCCUACGGGAGGCAGCAGUGGGGAAUAUUGGACAAUGGGCGAAAGCCUGAUCCAGCAAUGCCGCGUGAGUGAUGAAGGCCUUAGGGUUGUAAAGCUCUUUUACCCGGGAUGAUAAUGACAGUACCGGGAGAAUAAGCUCCGGCUAACUUCGUGCCAGCCGCCGCAGUAA
This 449-nucleotide ribosomal RNA is filed under the name uncultured bacterium. RNAcentral's name for it is "partial 16S ribosomal RNA". It matches the Rfam family "Bacterial small subunit ribosomal RNA", at positions 29 to 523 of the family's 1533-position model. The record is from RNAcentral.